RNAcentral lists this ribosomal RNA (467 nucleotides) under uncultured bacterium. RNAcentral's name for it is "partial 16S ribosomal RNA". It matches the Rfam family "Bacterial small subunit ribosomal RNA", at positions 28 to 507 of the family's 1533-position model. The record is from RNAcentral.
GACGAACGCUGGCGGCGUGCUUAACACAUGCAAGUCGAACGGAAAGGCCUCAGCUUGCUGGGGUACUCGAGUGGCGAACGGGUGAGUAACACGUGGGUGAUCUGCCUUGCACUCUGGGAUAAGCUUGGGAAACUGGGUCUAAUACCGGAUAUGAACUGCCUUUAGUGUGGUGGUUGGAAAGUUUUUUCGGUGCAAGAUGAGCUCGCGGCCUAUCAGCUUGUUGGUGGGGUAAUGGCCUACCAAGGCGUCGACGGGUAGCCGGCCUGAGAGGGUGUACGGCCACAUUGGGACUGAGAUACGGCCCAGACUCCUACGGGAGGCAGCAGUGGGGAACAUUGCACGAUGGGCGGAAGCCUGAUGCAGCGACGCCGCGUGGGGGAUGACGGCCUUCGGGUUGUAAACUCCUUUCGACAGGGACGAAGCUUUUUGUGACGGUACCUGUAUAAGAAGCACCGGCUAACUACGUG